Molecule: ribosomal RNA, 493 nt
Filed under: Magelona sp. KM5
Lineage: Eukaryota; Metazoa; Annelida; Polychaeta; Spionida; Magelonidae
Description: partial 16S ribosomal RNA
Rfam family: Bacterial large subunit ribosomal RNA
Source: RNAcentral
AAAUAAGAAAUUCUGCCUGCCCAGUGACAUUUCUGUUUAACGGCCGCGGUACCCUGACCGUGCAAAGGUAGCAUAAUCACUUGCCCUAUAAUUGAGGGCUUGUAUGAAAGGCAAGACGAGGGCAUAACUGUCUCCAAGGUAAAACAAAAAUUAUGCUCUAAGUGAAGACACUUAGAUAAAAAUACUGGACAAGAAGACCCUAUAGAGCUUAACUCUAAAAGAGCUAAAGUUAUAUAAUACUUAUAUCAACACCCUCUUUUUAAAGUUUGGUUGGGGCGACCAAGGAACACUUAGCUUCCUUUAUUCUUAUGGAAUCCAACCCUUUAAUAUUGAUCCAACAACUUUGACCAACGAUCAAAGCUACCUUAGGGAUAACAGCGUAAUCUUCUUUGAGAGUUCUCAUCUACAAGAAGGCUUGCGACCUCGAUGUUGGACUAGGAUAUCCUAAAGGUGCAGCAGCUUUUAAGGGUGGGUCUGUUCGACCCUUAAUAAU